AGCUGCUUCUUCCUGGUCACUGCUGAAGAGCUGAAGUACUUGGUGGAACUGGCAGCUGACAGCUUCAGCAGAGCUGGGCGGCUCUCACCCCUCUAGAAGCAUUCAUGAGAGGGAAAACUACAAGCUGGAAAACCCCAAUUUUUCUUUGCUUUUAAUUUUCCACUUCCCUCUAUUUUUGUUACAACUUCUUUGUUCCAAUAUGCAUCCCCUCAUGGCUUUUCUGCUGUGAUUGUACUUUUAUGCCCAUAAUAUCUUCAAAGUCUCAGUUACAUCUGCAUGUGCCAGGGCAACAUAUUCAGAGAAGUCUCUGACAACAGCAAGAAGAUCUUAGAUAGUCUCUGGUGGGUUUUUGUUCAGUAUUUUUCAGCCUGUUUAGAGCAAUGUCACUGCUUCAGAGGCUGCACUAAGUUGUUUCAGAGCUCCCACAAUUCCUUAGCCAGGUAUUUAACAACAAAAUGUUUUCUCAACUGGAUGGGAAGUCAGUGAAACUGGAGAUGGCAGAGGUGGCCAUAGUCAGCCUCAAUGACACACUUAUAGUCUGAUUUCACAUGGGACAAGGGCACAGAAGUCUGAAAUGUGACUCUCCAUCUCCUGAAUGUAAUACAUUCCAGUUCUGGCCCAGCAAAUGGCAAUUGACAAACACGAAGCACACCAAGUGUAAAAACACAGAAUAUACUCAGAAGUUCUACAGCUCAUCUUGCCUCCAAUCAUGCAUUUGUGCUACUUCAGUAUGAUAAAUGAAUGUUCAGUCUGCGUUUGCAAUGACAUUUAUGACUGUCAAAAAUUGUCAUCCUUUCU
This is a long non-coding RNA of Pogoniulus pusillus (Red-fronted tinkerbird), 798 nucleotides long. RefSeq lists it as uncharacterized. The record is from RefSeq and is a predicted model, not a curated record. NCBI's taxonomy places the organism in Eukaryota, Metazoa, Chordata, Aves, Piciformes, Lybiidae. The transcript has 2 exons.